Molecule: long non-coding RNA, 203 nt
Filed under: Bos taurus (domestic cattle)
Lineage: Eukaryota; Metazoa; Chordata; Mammalia; Artiodactyla; Bovidae
Description: long non-coding RNA NONBTAT019671
Source: RNAcentral
AUUACUGGCCUGUUGAUGUGGUGUGGCAGAAUUAUUUGUCAAGAUUUGCUGUAACAUUGUGUCAGGGACGACAGAUGAGCUGAUGCAACAACUCUAAAAUUAGCCAUUUUUCUUUGAACUCAUUUGUUCUUGUAAUGCUUUUUUCCUCCCUUUCUACCUACACAGUGGAUAUUUUGUGCUUAGUAAUAAAUGAUCUUUAUGGU